Non-coding RNA from Termitomyces sp. T32_za158, 92 nucleotides. NCBI's taxonomy places the organism in Eukaryota, Fungi, Basidiomycota, Agaricomycetes, Agaricales, Lyophyllaceae. The record is from the annotation of a GenBank genome assembly.
UCUUUGCUAGUAUAUCGGUUAGUACACGCGCCUGUCAUCUCGAGACAUGGUAAAGUGCGCGCGAAAGCUGGGUUCGACUCCCAGGCAAAGAG